This 831-nucleotide long non-coding RNA is filed under the name Salmo trutta (river trout). RNAcentral's name for it is "lncRNA (ENSSTUG00000036231.1)". Lineage: Eukaryota; Metazoa; Chordata; Actinopteri; Salmoniformes; Salmonidae. The record is from RNAcentral.
AGUUGGAAUGACCCAUGUGGCACGAGUAUAUACAAUAUAUGGACUUAUGUUAAUGUCCUUGAGUGUCAUCAUGAAAGUGUGUGUGUGGUCUGCCUGUGUAAUGUGUGUGGUGUGGGCAUGUAGCCUGCUUGAGUAACGUGAUUGUGCCCGUGUGCCCAUUGACAGAGGUCGCUGAAGACAGUGAUUGUCCCCAAAGGGAACCAGCUCCAUAAGAAGUUGCGGAGAGCUGCCUUGAAGCUGGAGAAGACCAUGGGAUAUGGAGAGGCUGAGGUAGCGGAGUUGGAUGCACACACAUACAAUUUUGUUGCAGAAAGAUCCUUUCCCAUUGGUGAGUCAAUAAUACUGCUACUGGUACUUUUUAUAACUACUGUCUGUCACUACUGUCUCUCACUACUGUCUGUGAAUAAUUUAACAUUUUCAACUGUGUGUUGGUUCGUCUCUCCAGGCCUGAACAUUGUAAUGAAGGUCAUAAAUGGUGACCCUUCACCUGACCCCCGACUGUUGGUCAGCCUUAAACCUCCUGACCCCUCACCCCAGGUCAGCCCUGAACCCCCUGACCCCUCACCCCAGGUCAGCCCUGAACCCCUUGACCCCUCACCCCAGGUCAGCCCUGAACCCCCUGACCCCUCACCCAAGGGCAGCCCUAACUCCUCACCCCAGGUCAGCCCUGACCCCUCACCCAAGGUCAGCCCUGACCCCUCACCCCAGGUGUCGGAGGUCAGCAACCCCACCAUGACCUCUACAGCUCUGUGGUCCUACCUGAAUGCCUCCACCAGGACACAGCCUGUCAUCGGUAAGUGUGUGUGUGAUUGUUUAAUGUGCACUUCAUAG